This 770-nucleotide ribosomal RNA is filed under the name uncultured Alphaproteobacteria bacterium. RNAcentral describes it as "bacterial SSU rRNA". It matches the Rfam family "Bacterial small subunit ribosomal RNA", at positions 86 to 891 of the family's 1533-position model. The record is from RNAcentral. Lineage: Bacteria; Pseudomonadati; Pseudomonadota; Alphaproteobacteria.
CCAAGGGGAGUGGCGAACGGGUGAGUAACGCGUGGGAACCUACCCAGCAGUUGGGGAUAACCGCGGGAAACUGCGGCUAAUACCGAAUACGUCCUACGGGAGAAAGAUUUAUCGCUGUUGGAGGGGCCCGCGUCGGAUUAGCUAGUUGGUGAGGUAAUGGCUCACCAAGGCUGCGAUCCGUAGCUGGUCUGAGAGGAUGAUCAGCCACACUGGGACUUAGACACGGCCCAGACUCCUACGGGAGGCAGCAGUGGGGAAUAUUGGACAAUGGGGGCAACCCUGAUCCAGCAAUGCCGCGUGAGUGAUGAAGGCCUUAGGGUUGUAAAGCUCUUUUACCGGGGACGAUGAUGACGGUACCCGGAGAAUAAGCCCCGGCUAACUUCGUGCCAGCAGCCGCGGUAAUACGAAGGGGGCGAGCGUUGUUCGGAGUUACUGGGCGUAAAGGGCGCGUAGGCGGCGAUCCAAGUUAGGCGUGAAAGCCCCGGGCUUAACCUGGGAAUAGCGCUUAAGACUGGACUGCUUGAGUGCGGGAGAGGUGAGUGGAAUUCCCAGUGUAGAGGUGAAAUUCGUAGAUAUUGGGAAGAACACCAGUGGCGAAGGCGGCUCACUGGCCCGCAACUGACGCUGAGGCGCGAAAGCGUGGGGAGCAAACAGGAUUAGAUACCCUGGUAGUCCACGCUGUAAACGAUGAGUGCUAGACGUUGGGGGACUCAGUCCCUUGGUGUCGCAGCUAACGCAUGAAGCACUCCGCCUGGGGAGUACGGCCGCAA